RNAcentral lists this long non-coding RNA (275 nucleotides) under Monodelphis domestica (gray short-tailed opossum). RNAcentral describes it as "lncRNA (ENSMODG00000030567.2)". Lineage: Eukaryota; Metazoa; Chordata; Mammalia; Didelphimorphia; Didelphidae. The record is from RNAcentral.
GCUCACUUCCUCUCUCUGGGACCUUUUGACAGCAGAGAUUUGGCUGGUGGCAGCGUGCUGGGCUUUUCGGCAUCUUGAUGUAGUUACAAGCUAUUAUCCGGUUCGGUGGUAACAAGAGAUCUCAGUACCUGGGUUAGGAUCAAGACCUAUGGAACUACAAUCCUCAAACAUCCAGCCCCAGAGCAUCUCUUUCUGAACAAAAGGGAAUUAAUUCCUUAUUAUGAAGAAGGUAGGUUUGCUGAAUAAAAAACUACCAUGCCUCCUUCUAGGACAAG